GCAGAAAGUGAUGAAUCAGAGGCUGAAGUGAAGUUACAAAGUUAUACUCCUAUGCAAAGGAAGACUUGGCCUGUGACCAGCCUGAUUGACUGCAGGAGGGGACCAGUCAGAGUGCAGCAUUGAAACAGAGUUACUGUGAAUACAGAAGACUGUCUAUCCCACAGCAGGCAAUGCAAUUAAAGACUUCAGAGAAUGCCAGAUUUUUCAGAAUGCAUCAUAGAAUUUUCAAAGCUGUAAGAAAGAGGUGAGGAUGCUGAGAUGUAGAGAGACUGAUUUGCUCAAGAUAACAAAGAGUUUUAUUGAUUUGGGAACCCAUGGAAGGGGGUCAGCUGUGAGAUAUCACAUGAUCAGACUGACUGCCUGACCAGACUGACUGCCAUCCUGUUAAAGGAAUGAAUCACAGUUCAUCUCGCAGAUUUAUGGCAUGCCUACAGAAAAAGUACCUUAUGAUGCAAACCUGAAAGUUUAAAUAAUCUCCUGAAAGUUCCACAAUCAGGUAAGCAAGCAAAUGUGGUUUAGAGGUCAAAAGAAAAAAUGAAUCAGUUUAAACUCUUUUCUUCUUUAUAUCAAUAAUGAAACAAGAAGGAUUGGGAAAUG
RNAcentral lists this long non-coding RNA (597 nucleotides) under Homo sapiens (human). RNAcentral describes it as "HSALNT0343653". The record is from RNAcentral. Lineage: Eukaryota; Metazoa; Chordata; Mammalia; Primates; Hominidae.